Molecule: non-coding RNA, 99 nt
Organism: Mycena polygramma
Lineage: Eukaryota; Fungi; Basidiomycota; Agaricomycetes; Agaricales; Mycenaceae
Source: the annotation of a GenBank genome assembly
GGCAGUAUAGUGCAAGGAUGCACGCGGGACCAUCUUGAUGUUUUUCAACAUGACUUAUAAGUAAUUCCCGAAGUCCUUGUUCGACUCAAGGUACUGCCU